CCUGACGACCAUAGCAAGGUGGUCCCACUCCUUCCCAUCUCGAACAGGACAGUGAAACGCCUUUGCGCCGAUGAUAGUGCGGGUUCCCGUGUGAAAGUAGGUCAUCGUCAGGC
RNAcentral lists this ribosomal RNA (113 nucleotides) under Hydrogenophaga sp. IBVHS1. RNAcentral also lists the same sequence under 2 other names. Lineage: Bacteria; Pseudomonadati; Pseudomonadota; Betaproteobacteria; Burkholderiales; Comamonadaceae. The record is from RNAcentral.